GUCCAACCAAUCUUCCAAGUCUUCGUACAAGUCACCGAGGAAUACUGGCGGCUGGUGCGGUUGGCUGAUGAACACUUGUGCUCGUGUUACCAGGCUAGUCAUAGUGGCAGCGUCCAUCGUUUGACUUCCCCUUGGUGUGAAGUGGAGAGGACUGAACUCAGCAGAUCGCAGACACUGGCUUGUUAAGGUCCUGUGAUGCAUCGGUCGCACACACUCGCACAUCCAUCCUCAUCAUUACUUGGAGCACCUGUACAAAAGUAGGAAGGACGCGUGCUCCCUAACUGUGCAAGUCUAUGUCACUGCUGGGACUGCUAUCAUUCAGCGGACCUGGAUGUGGCCUGGAAGCAUGCAUGGCAGCCUCAUCUGGAAGGACUGCGAUCUGCUUGGGAGCUUCGAGGGCACAAAACUGCCUAAUCGCUGGCUGCAAGCAGAAGUGCGAUGCUGCCAGCACACAUGCAAGCCAAGUCUUGGAGCGCUCUUUUGGUGUUCUGUGCAGGACACAGCAUAUCCAUCUUGCAAGACACUGGUAUCAACAAUAAUGUUGAGUGUUGGUGGCACCUGUAGGAGCCCAUUGUGUUUGUUGCAUAUUAUUUUCCCUGAUGAAGACAAUUUUUGAAAGCUUUUCUUUCGUUUGGAAUAAUAGAUGUCAGCAACAAGCACACUGAUAAUCCACAAGUGCUUUGUGUCUUCUAGACCGCCCAUUUGCUCCUAUAUGCAGUAUGGUGAGCUGGCUUUGUUAGACAGCCUUAAAGUUAUGAACAUUGGCUGUUGUGUUGUAAUGCAGUCUAACUUCUGUUUCUUAGUAAACUUAUUUGUGGUCUACUUCUCGCACCUAGUUUCAAGUCAAAACAGAAGAAACUUUGAUGGCUUAUUAUGCUUGGCAUAAGUUUCAUGCCUUCAUCUAUAACAUUGUAGUUUUGCUCUUGUAUCAUAAUAAAAUAUAUUUUCAGUCUUCUCUGUGUGUGCGCGUGUGGAGGCUUGUCAUGGGCUUCUGAAAAUAUGACAUCUCUAAAUAUGAGCCCAUAUUUAACAACUGUACACUCUUGCAUGUAGCAUGGUUGUAACAAUGAUCUGAAUUUUCUUACAUUCCAGCAGUAACAAGGAAUCUGGUGCUUCACAGUCAUGUACAGUGUAUCAAGAACAGAGCACAAAAGAUCAACAAGUAGAAAGGAACUUUCAGUGACUGUUCUCCUGCUCAAAGUUUACGACAGUAGAAAGAGCACAUUCUAAUGCCAGGAGCAGUUUGAAUUGUAUGUGCAGUAACAUUCUGAGCAGCUGCAGCGUAACUUCUUAGCAGCGCAUUAUUCGGCAGUUCCUUUGCUUGCAUUCUAAAUUACUUAAAUUUUGCAUGGAAUAUACCAAACUAUGACACUAAUUUAAAGGCAUUUCCGAUGGAGGCGGAAAUGUUGUAGGCCCGUGUACUCAGAUUUGGGUGCACGUUAAAGAACCCCAGGUGGUCAAAAUUUCCGGAGCCCUCCACUACGGCGUCUCUCAUAAUCAAAUUGUGGUUUUGGGACGUUAAACCCCACAAAUCAAUCAAUCAAUCACUAAUUUAAAGGCUGCUGUUGUGUUAGUGGACACAUAAUUUUGAGCUGAAGUUUUUAACAUGUGUGUUAAUCAAAGUGCCCAUGUGUCUCUACAUUUAACUGCCAUAAAUCACAGCACCCAUGGUUGGCAAUGGUAACUGUGUUUGGAUUCUUUCUAGUAGAAGAUGUAAAGCCAUGAAUGCGGUAAUCUUGUACUUAGUCGAUUGUAAUCCUUCACUGUACACUUAUUUGUAUAGCACCAAUGAUGCCAUGAGUGUAUAAGCUCUGGUAACUAAAUCUAUGUGGAUUGUAUUAUUUGAAAGGAAGAGGAUCAUUACUACUCCUAGUAUAUCCUAAGAGUAGAUUUUAGUGCUUGUGUAUUGUUAUCUCUCUGCCUUCUCCGUGCUUCAACAGUCUAUUUUAAUGUUUCUAGUGUGUAAGUGGAGCUUUUUAAUGUAUACUUUGCUCGGAUAGGUUUGUUCAUAUGUAAUUGUGUACUAUGCAAGUGACGUAUCAUCUAUAUAGCUUUACUCACACUAGAAAGGAAAGUAUAUAUUUUAAUUCAUACGUAGCUGUAGCAUGCAUUUACUUAUCUUUUUCUAGGUGCCUGUACAAUUGUUUAGCCCUGCAAUGGUACUGGUCUACUCUAAUAUUGAAGCUGGCAUCUUAAAAUAGUUGGUUAUUGAAAGUAACAACGUGUUUACAAAUAUUAUUACUAUCCUCUUUGAAAAUUUAUUUACAUUUUUUGAACUGUGGGAAGGUAAAUGUUGUUAUGUUCUUUUAUUGUGGUCCCUGUUUCAUGCAUAUGACACAUAAUUACUUUGAAGCGGCAUAGAAUUAGUUGUUAUUUUACACAUAUAUAUUGAGGAACAUCGAAUUUAAGGCCAGAAGCAAAACAUACACGCAGUGCACUGGAGCAUCACCUCACAUUAUAAGUGUACAGUCUUUGCCCACCAGUGAACUGAAUUUUUUUCAAGCAGACUGACAGACAGCUGUAUGGGAAAUGUGUUGAUGUGCAAUAUUUGAAGUUUUUUUUGAGGAGUGUUUUCGGGGAACGAAAUAGGGUCUAUAGCUGUCAAUAUAAACACUGUUUGCAUCAAGGAGCGUAGUAGCUUAGAAUUGUAUUAGUCAUGUAUUGUCUGGAUUUUUUUGCGAUGUGCUGCUUUUCAGCCCAAGUAUUCUAACGUGCUUUGUUACUGUGUUGUGAAUGAGCCAAGCUAUGUAAAUAAACAGGGUAUUAUUGCCGA
This is a long non-coding RNA of Rhipicephalus microplus (southern cattle tick), 2773 nucleotides long. The record is from RefSeq and is a predicted model, not a curated record. NCBI's taxonomy places the organism in Eukaryota, Metazoa, Arthropoda, Arachnida, Ixodida, Ixodidae.